GUAAGAGCAGCGCGUCGGAGGUUCCGCGCUUUCGGGUUGAGCAUGUUGCGACAGUGAACGUAGCCGGCAAAAUGCACGCGUUGUUUGGUGAACAGAGCCCGUAUGCGUACCGCGGAGGAGCCGCCGGUGGUUACUCAGCCGGAGUGACACCUUAUGCCUAUGAACAAUACCGCUAUGGAUAUGGAGCUCCCUACCUUCACCCCCAUCAACAACACGUUGGUGCACCUAAAGACAUGGUCAAGCCGCCUUACUCUUACAUAGCACUUAUAGCUAUGGCCAUACAAAACGCUCCUGAACGACGUAUAACUCUCAACGGUAUUUACCAAUUUAUUAUGGAAAGAUUUCCUUAUUACAGAGAAAACAAACAAGGCUGGCAAAACUCCAUAAGACACAAUCUAAGCCUCAAUGAGUGCUUUGUGAAAGUGGCAAGAGAUGAUAAAAAACCUGGUAAAGGCAGUUACUGGACUCUUGAUCCUGAUUCAUAUAAUAUGUUUGAUAAUGGCUCGUACUUACGCCGUCGGCGUCGAUUUAAAAAGAAAGAUGCGCUUAGAGAAAAGGAAGAAGCUUUAAAGAGACAACAACAGCUGCAACAAGCUCAGGAGGCACUCACUGCUCAGGAGGCACUGACUGCAUCCGACACACUAGGACAACAACGUGACGUUAAGCCUGAUGUCAAACCACGAAUCUUCGAAUGUCGACCGAAACGAGAACCCGGCGCAGACUGUGCAAGAUAUGACAAACCUGUCGAUGGUCUUGAUGACUUCAGUGAACCUCGACUUCCAGCUUCCGCAGUUUAUUGUUCACCUCAACCGUAUUCGUUGGUGGCCGAGGAAUUUCGAGCCGCUACAUCGGGGUGGUAUGCGGCGCCCGAACCUCCGGCGGAACAACUGCCUCCGGCGUUCCGCGACCUCUUUGAACCGCCAAGCUGCCAACUAGCCGGGUUCCGCAGUGGUUCACCCGUACCAGACGCGUACCGUGCGUCGCCACCGCCACAUCACCAUUAUCGCACACCGGCACCUUCAUACUAUCAUCACCAAGCCUGUGUUGCCGCAGGUCCCGCGCCAGCCCAUAAGUCCUACUGAGACCUAGCUCUCAGGAGGCCGGCAUCGCUCGGCGCCGAACGGAUUUAGCCGCACGCGUCAGUUCCAGAGCGGAUAAAUAUAGCGCAGUAGCCGGAGAUGCCGUGGAGGCAAGUGGCGGCGCGUCGAUAACCACUGUUUACAGAUCGGCGGCCGACCCUGCCGCCUCCCGCUCCGUUCACACCUAUAGGUAUGGCGGAACAAGAAGAUAGCGGGAGGCUGAGUGCAGGGGUGACGCGAAUAUUUAACGUGUCUGGAAGAGAUGGCGACAUAGUGUUGUAAGAACUUUAUUCCGCGUGGUGCACAUAUUGUAGCAAACGUCUCGUAUUUAUAAAGUUCAAGCUAUCAUCGUAUCUCCGCAAGAGAUAUUAUCGAAUGAUAGCACCCGAAGACUUAUUUUAGUAUGUAUAUUCGUUUACCUAUGAACUUAAUAUAAUUAAUAGAUAAGACGAAAUCCGAUAAUUCCGAAAUAACGUAGCGUUCAUUAUUGUCGUAGGUAAGUAGGCCAGGACAUAAAUAAGUUACAGUAUUACCCGUUGAAACAGUAUUAUGUACAUGCACACUGUACGUACCACAUGAUCUGUAAACAAAUAUUAUUAGAUAAAUGUAAAUAUUUAGUUAUUAAUACCUAGUAAUUGUAUGAGGUGUAGAUUCUCCCCUGUAAAAAAAAUAAUAGUUUUUCUGAAAACAUAUUUAGGGGAUGUGCUGUUAUUCUAGUCUGCUACUUUAGGCAAAUUUUUGUGUAAUAGAUAUAUAUACAAAAACAAGUGAAAAUAUAAAAGCGAAUACAAACUACCUACUAUGUACAUGGAUUUAGAUGGCAACGAACGAAAUAAUAACAUUAAGUAAUGUAUUGACUUAUACAAUCAACAAGAAUAUUAUCGUCACUGCAUUGUAUCUAUUAUAUUGUUAUUAAAUAUGUUUAAAAACGACUUUAUGCAUUCUGAGUGAAUAGUUUUCCUACCCUGAAUAGAUUGUUGCAGUCUACUUAUUACAUUAAAUAUAUAAAUAAAGUACAACAAGCAGACAUCAAACUUAACAAUGAACUUAGUAUAUUGAGUAAAUUAUAUAUAUACGUAUGUAUGUUAAUCUGUACAAUUAAGGUUAGCAAUUAGUAGAAUUGUAUAUUAAGACACGAAGAAAUAUAAACAGCCAGUCUCUUAAAUAUAAUGUCCAAUGCAAAGAAAUACUAUAUAGCACUUCAAAUUAUAGUACCUAUCAAGUUGAAACCGAGACAAGGCAUUACUUCAAUUGAAAAUUUAGGUUUUAGUGUAUAGACAGCAUUUUUCCUAGCGUAGGUGAUAAUUAGUAAAAAAAACUGUAAAUAAAAAUGAAUUUUGAUGGAUUUCUUCUCUUGGAUAUUAGCAAAACUAAACAAUAUAUUAUGUAGAUUAGGCAGGAAUCAAAAAAGUAUAUUUAUGUGCUUCUAUUAUAAAAUGAAAUAAGUUCAAAAAUGUAAUAUACAAAUGGUGAUAUGAUAUUAUUGUAUCCGACGAACUUGUGUUGUUUAUUGAUAUUCAUAAUAACUAUUUAUUAGAUACAAAGCAAUCAAACUACAGCUUUCACUUACAAAUACUAGCUUGUAAAAUGUUAAAUCGAAUCAUGUCUCUCACGUACCUAUACCGAUUAAUUAUACACGUAAUUAUAAUUAAGCAUAUACACAUUCAAUUCCAUGAAAUACCCACAAUAAAUAAUAACAUUAUGAAUAUGGAGAUUUAUGUAAUUAAAUGAAUUGUAAUUUAAGUUAAAUAAAUACUCGUUCAUACAACUGUCAGGAACGAAACGAUUUGCAGAUUACGUAGAACAAUGAAAUAUAUAUUCGACUCAGGGAAUAAGUAUUGUGUAUUUAGUGGGUUCAUAUGUAUACAUGUAAUAUAUUAUGCAUUUUCUACCUUCGUAAAGUGAAUACAAGUUAUUACAUUUUCUGCUAAAUUUAGAGUCAAAUACAAUAUACAAGAGUGCGUACGUAUCAUGUGAACUUACAUGAUUAUGUAUCAAUAUAAUGUAUUUCGAAUUCACGUGUUUUCACUAUAGUAAAAUGUACUUUAGCAAUAUUCUCACAAUGCAUCAUUUCUUGUUUCACAUGUAAUAAUACAAUAUUAGAUGACCUACCUAUUAGCUGAUAAAUUUGUGAUAAUUAUCGUAAUCGUGUGUACAUAAAUGUAUUUAAUAAUAAAUGUUUAUUUGUAUUUAGC
RNA transcript from Spodoptera litura, 3274 nucleotides. It is a transcript of the gene named transcription factor crocodile, with no coding region annotated. The record is from RefSeq and is a predicted model, not a curated record. Lineage: Eukaryota; Metazoa; Arthropoda; Insecta; Lepidoptera; Noctuidae.